ACGGAAGGCAGCAGUGGGGAAUAUUGGGCAAUGGGCGAAAGCCUGACCCAGCAACGCCGCGUGAGGGAAGAAGGUCUUCGGAUUGUAAACCUUUGUCUUAUGGGACGAUAGUGACGGUAGCUAAGGAGCAAGCCACGGCUAACUACGUGCCAGCAGCCGCGGUAAUACGUAGGUGGCAAGCGUUAUCCGGAAUUACUGGGUGUAAAGGGAGCGCAGGCGGGAUAGCAAGUCAGCGGUGAAAUGUAUGGGCUUAACCCAUGAACUGCCGUUGAAACUGUUAUUCUUGAGUGGAGUAGAGGCAGGCGGAAUUCCGAGUGUAGCGGUGAAAUGCGUAGAUAUUCGGAGGAACACCAGUGGCGAAGGCGGCCUGCUGGGCUCUAACUGACGCUGAGGCUCGAAAGUGUGGGGAGCAAACAGGAUUAGAUACCCUGGUA
Molecule: ribosomal RNA, 434 nt
Filed under: uncultured bacterium
Lineage: Bacteria
Description: partial 16S ribosomal RNA
Rfam family: Bacterial small subunit ribosomal RNA
Source: RNAcentral